This 2902-nucleotide ribosomal RNA is filed under the name Yersinia pestis 1413. RNAcentral describes it as "bacterial LSU rRNA". It matches the Rfam family "Bacterial large subunit ribosomal RNA". The record is from RNAcentral. Lineage: Bacteria; Pseudomonadati; Pseudomonadota; Gammaproteobacteria; Enterobacterales; Yersiniaceae.
UAAGCGACUAAGCGUACACGGUGGAUGCCUAGGCAGUCAGAGGCGAUGAAGGGCGUGCUAAUCUGCGAAAAGCGUCGGUAAGCUGAUAUGAAGCGUUAUAACCGACGAUACCCGAAUGGGGAAACCCAGUGCAAUACGUUGCACUAUCGUUAGAUGAAUACAUAGUCUAACGAGGCGAACCGGGGGAACUGAAACAUCUAAGUACCCCGAGGAAAAGAAAUCAACCGAGAUUCCCCCAGUAGCGGCGAGCGAACGGGGAGGAGCCCAGAGUCUGAAUCAGUUUGUGUGUUAGUGGAAGCGUCUGGAAAGUCGCACGGUACAGGGUGAUAGUCCCGUACACCAAAAUGCACAGGCUGUGAACUCGAUGAGUAGGGCGGGACACGUGACAUCCUGUCUGAAUAUGGGGGGACCAUCCUCCAAGGCUAAAUACUCCUGACUGACCGAUAGUGAACCAGUACCGUGAGGGAAAGGCGAAAAGAACCCCGGCGAGGGGAGUGAAAUAGAACCUGAAACCGUGUACGUACAAGCAGUGGGAGCACCUUCGUGGUGUGACUGCGUACCUUUUGUAUAAUGGGUCAGCGACUUAUAUUUUGUAGCAAGGUUAACCGAAUAGGGGAGCCGUAGGGAAACCGAGUCUUAACUGGGCGUCUAGUUGCAAGGUAUAGACCCGAAACCCGGUGAUCUAGCCAUGGGCAGGUUGAAGGUUGGGUAACACUAACUGGAGGACCGAACCGACUAAUGUUGAAAAAUUAGCGGAUGACUUGUGGCUGGGGGUGAAAGGCCAAUCAAACCGGGAGAUAGCUGGUUCUCCCCGAAAGCUAUUUAGGUAGCGCCUCGUGAACUCAUCUUCGGGGGUAGAGCACUGUUUCGGCUAGGGGGCCAUCCCGGCUUACCAAACCGAUGCAAACUCCGAAUACCGAAGAAUGUUAUCACGGGAGACACACGGCGGGUGCUAACGUCCGUCGUGAAGAGGGAAACAACCCAGACCGCCAGCUAAGGUCCCAAAGUCAUGGUUAAGUGGGAAACGAUGUGGGAAGGCACAGACAGCCAGGAUGUUGGCUUAGAAGCAGCCAUCAUUUAAAGAAAGCGUAAUAGCUCACUGGUGGAGUCGGCCUGCGCGGAAGAUGUAACGGGGCUAAACCAUGCACCGAAGCUGCGGCAGCGACACUUAGGUGUUGUUGGGUAGGGGAGCGUUCUGUAAGCCGUUGAAGGUGACCUGUGAGGGUUGCUGGAGGUAUCAGAAGUGCGAAUGCUGACAUAAGUAACGAUAAUGCGGGUGAAAAACCCGCACGCCGGAAGACCAAGGGUUCCUGUCCAACGUUAAUCGGGGCAGGGUGAGUCGACCCCUAAGGCGAGGCUGAAAAGCGUAGUCGAUGGGAAACAGGUUAAUAUUCCUGUACUUGGUGUUACUGCGAAGGGGGGACGGAGAAGGCUAGGCUGGCCGGGCGACGGUUGUCCCGGUUUAAGCGUGUAGGGGGAGUGACCAGGUAAAUCCGGUUGCUUAUCAACCCUGAGGCGUGAUGACGAUGCACCACGGUGCAGAAGCAGUUGAUGCCAUGCUUCCAGGAAAAGCCUCUAAGCAUCAGGUAACAUUAAAUCGUACCCCAAACCGACACAGGUGGUCAGGUAGAGAAUACUCAGGCGCUUGAGAGAACUCGGGUGAAGGAACUAGGCAAAAUGGUGCCGUAACUUCGGGAGAAGGCACGCUGGCGUUAGGUGAAAGGACUAGCUCCUGGAGCUGAAGCCAGUCGCAGAUACCAGCUGGCUGCAACUGUUUAAUAAAAACACAGCACUGUGCAAACACGAAAGUGGACGUAUACGGUGUGACGCCUGCCCGGUGCUGGAAGGUUAAUUGAUGGGGUCAGCCGCAAGGCGAAGCUCUUGAUCGAAGCCCCAGUAAACGGCGGCCGUAACUAUAACGGUCCUAAGGUAGCGAAAUUCCUUGUCGGGUAAGUUCCGACCUGCACGAAUGGCGUAAUGAUGGCCAGGCUGUCUCCACCCGAGACUCAGUGAAAUUGAACUCGCUGUGAAGAUGCAGUGUACCCGCGGCAAGACGGAAAGACCCCGUGAACCUUUACUAUAGCUUGACACUGAACAUUGAGCCUUGAUGUGUAGGAUAGGUGGGAGGCCUUGAAGUGUGGACGCCAGUCUGCAUGGAGCCAACCUUGAAAUACCACCCUUUAAUGUUUGAUGUUCUAACUCGGCCCAUGAUCUGGGGUGAGGACAGUGUCUGGUGGGUAGUUUGACUGGGGCGGUCUCCUCCCAAAGAGUAACGGAGGAGCACGAAGGUUAGCUAAUCACGGUCGGACAUCGUGAGGUUAGUGCAAAGGCAUAAGCUAGCUUGACUGCGAGAGUGACGGCUCGAGCAGGUACGAAAGUAGGUCUUAGUGAUCCGGUGGUUCUGAAUGGAAGGGCCAUCGCUCAACGGAUAAAAGGUACUCCGGGGAUAACAGGCUGAUACCGCCCAAGAGUUCAUAUCGACGGCGGUGUUUGGCACCUCGAUGUCGGCUCAUCACAUCCUGGGGCUGAAGUAGGUCCCAAGGGUAUGGCUGUUCGCCAUUUAAAGUGGUACGCGAGCUGGGUUUAGAACGUCGUGAGACAGUUCGGUCCCUAUCUGCCGUGGGCGUUGGAAGAUUGAGAGGGGCUGCUCCUAGUACGAGAGGACCGGAGUGGACGAAUCACUGGUGUUCGGGUUGUCAUGCCAAUGGCAUUGCCCGGUAGCUAAAUUCGGAAGAGAUAACCGCUGAAAGCAUCUAAGCGGGAAACUUGCCUCGAGAUGAGUCUUCCCUGGGGCUUAAAGCCCCCUGAAGGAACGUUAAAGACUAUGACGUUGAUAGGCUGGGUGUGUAAGUGCAGCGAUGUAUUGAGCUAACCAGUACUAAUGAUCCGUGAGGCUUAACCU